RNAcentral lists this ribosomal RNA (392 nucleotides) under uncultured bacterium. RNAcentral's name for it is "bacterial SSU rRNA". It matches the Rfam family "Bacterial small subunit ribosomal RNA", at positions 29 to 413 of the family's 1533-position model. The record is from RNAcentral.
AUUGAACGCUGGCGGCGUGCUUAACACAUGCAAGUCGAGCGGUAACAGGCGUAGCAAUACGUGCUGACGAGCGGCGAACGGGUGCGUAAUACAUCGGAAUCUGCCUCGUAGUGGGGAAUAACCCGGCGAAAGCCGGGCUAAUGCCGCAUACGAUCCACGGAUGAAAGCGGGGGACCGUAAGGCCUCGCGCUAUGAGAUGAGCCGAUGUCGGAUUAGCAGUUGGUGAGGUAACGGCUCACCAAGGCGACGAUCCGUAGCUGGUCUGAGAGGACGGCCAGCCACACUGGGACUGAGACACGGCCCAGACCUCCGUACGGGAGGCAGCAGGUGGGGAAUAGUUGGACAAGUACGGGGGAAACCCUGAUCCAGCGACCGCCGCGUGUGUGAAGGAA